Molecule: long non-coding RNA, 1131 nt
Filed under: Homo sapiens (human)
Lineage: Eukaryota; Metazoa; Chordata; Mammalia; Primates; Hominidae
Description: non-protein coding IFNG-AS1:1
Source: RNAcentral
CCUUGCCCACCUUCUGCACACCAAGCGUGGAUUCUGCAAAACGUGAGCCCAACAGGAAGCUGCCUGCAAUUUCAGGUAGCUUUUCUGACUCUUAAAGAGAUCUCAAGUAUACCUUCAGAGAAAUGCCAGCAAAAACUGUAGUCAUUUGGGAAGGAAUAAGCCUGGAAGAAAAAGAUACAACGAACUAGCACAACGAGGAGUUUGAAAAGUUCAUGACAGCUCACAGCUGAUGAUGGUGGCAAUCUUAAGGAUACAGAAAGCUCAUUCCUCAUGCAGGGAAGAAGAAAAUAUUCUAAAGAAGAGAUAAGCAUAUUCCAUGAAAUCAAAAAAGGUAGGAAAACAAUAUUUAUUCAUUAACUCCUUCACUCACUCAACGAACAUAUAUUUAGUGCCUACUAUGUGUUAGGCAUGGUACCAGAAUCUGGAAUCCAAAAUUUAAAAAGUCUCUGUCCUGAAGAGUUUACAAGACAGGGCAGUAAGUAAGUGAUCAAAAUACCGUAUGAUAGCAAUUAGUACAAGGCAUGGAGCUGAGCCUGGAUAGUAAAGCAGAGGCCAUGUGAAUGAGUUUUGUCUUUAUUCUGAUACAAAUGUGAAUCCAUUGAAAGAUUUAAACAAAGAGAAUGCCAUCUAACUAGUUUCAUUCUUAAAAGAUCAUACUUGUUGUAUAGUGAGAACAAAUUGAAUGGUGAAUCAGAGCUGAGAUUUUGUUAUUUUUAUAACUACAAAAUCUUGUAUAGUUUUCUACACCUAUAAAGUACAAUGAGUUCACACCCUCUUAAAUCUAUGUAGCUGUGUGUCCCUCCAUGCUAUUAUUCAUCUAGCAGUCUGCCUUCUGCUCCCACUCAUUUCCCUACAAUGAGUAACAGAACUGCAAGUAGACAAAGAAGGAUGGAGAAUGAACUUGGCUUCUCUCUUUCAAAUGGAAGCUAGCAGAAAAGCUCAGGAACUCACACCUUGAGGAGAGGGUAAUAUGCAGUGGUUAAUAACAUAGGAUAUUGAUUUAAAAACCAGUGUUGUCCAUUGCUCAUUCUAUGACCUUAGGCAAACUUGUCAAUAUUUCUGCUCUUAAUAUCUUUACUUUAUGAUGGUAAUAAAGUUAUUUCUAUCUUUUAUUUGUCAGACUCAGCUAAC